RNAcentral lists this transfer RNA (360 nucleotides) under uncultured Microcystis sp. RNAcentral's name for it is "partial 16S-23S ribosomal RNA intergenic spacer". The stretch from base 134 to 207 matches the Rfam family "tRNA". Lineage: Bacteria; Bacillati; Cyanobacteriota; Cyanophyceae; Chroococcales; Microcystaceae. The record is from RNAcentral.
AAAGGGAGACCUAAUUCAGGUAUAAGACGAAAAAAAAGUAGUCCCUACCAAGAAUCAAUCCCAAAAGGUCGGAACGAGGUAUGAGGCUUUCAAACUAGGUUCUGGGUUCAUAAAAGACCUGAAUCAGGAACAAGGGCUAUUAGCUCAGGUGGUUAGAGCGCACCCCUGACAAGGGUGAGGUCCCUGGUUCGAGUCCGGGAUGGCCCACCUGCACAGGUGGCAAAAACAAGAGAAGCGAGGAAUCAGCACCUUAUCUUAUAUACAUAUAUAAGAGAGAAUGCUGGCUCUGAGUACAGAGUCCAGAGGAACCUUGAAAACUGCAUAGAGCUAGGUGAAAAAGCCAAAAAAGAAGACCGCAAG